Molecule: unclassified non-coding RNA, 254 nt
Filed under: Hevea brasiliensis (rubber tree)
Lineage: Eukaryota; Viridiplantae; Streptophyta; Magnoliopsida; Malpighiales; Euphorbiaceae
Source: RNAcentral
GGCGGGCAGCACCCCUCCUAAAAAAAAAUAAUAAUAAAACCUGAAUAUGCAGAAUGCUGUUCUCAUUCCAUUACACAUACUGCAACAAUUUGCGUUUUCGGAACUUAAAAAAUUCCAAUAAGGUUAAAAAUUUAUUUGACACAUUUGCCAUCAAACUUAUUCAUCUCAAUGGCAUGAAUAAGUUAAAUGAAGAUAAGUAAUUGGACAUUUGGCCACAAGAAAACUAACAAACCUCUCGUGCAGCCUCCAUGCUU